UACGAAGGUGGCAAGCGUUGUUCGGAUUUACUGGGCGUAAAGGGAGCGUAGGUGGUUAGGUAAGCCCUCCGGGAAAUCUUCAGGCUUAACCUGAAAAGGUCGGGGGGGACUGCCUGGCUAGAGGACGGGAGAGGAGCGCGGAAUUCCCGGUGUAGCGGUGAAAUGCGUAGAGAUCGGGAGGAAGGCCGGUGGCGAAGGCGGCGCUCUGGAACGUUUCUGACACUGAGGAGCGAAAGCGUGGGGAGCAAACAGG
This 253-nucleotide ribosomal RNA is filed under the name uncultured bacterium. Its description in RNAcentral is "partial 16S ribosomal RNA". It matches the Rfam family "Bacterial small subunit ribosomal RNA", at positions 524 to 776 of the family's 1533-position model. The record is from RNAcentral.